GAUGAACGCUGGCGGCGUGCCUAAUACAUGCAAGUCGAGCGAACGGACGAUAAGUUUUUUUCUGUGAUGUUAGCGGCGCACGGGUGUGUAACACGUGGAUACCCUCCCUAUAAGACUGGGAUAAUUUCGGGAAACCGGAGCUAAUACCGGAUAAUAUCUUGCACCGUAUGGUUCAAUAGUGAAUGACGGUCUUGCUGUCUCUUAUAGAUGGAUCUGCGCUGCAUUAGCUAGUUGGUAAGGUAACGGCUUACCACGGCAACGAUGCAUAGCCGACCGAAGAGGGGGAUCGGCCACACUGGAGCUGAGACACGGUCCAGAGGACUACGGGAGGCAGCAGUAGGGAAUCUUCCGCAAUGGGCGAAAGCCUGACGGAGCGACGCCGCGUGAGUGAUGAAGAUCUGCGGAGCGUGAAACUCUGUUAUUAGGGAAGAACAGAUGUGGAAGUAACUGUGGACAUCGUGACGGUACCUAGUCAGAAAGCCACGGCUAACUACGUG
RNAcentral lists this ribosomal RNA (497 nucleotides) under uncultured bacterium. RNAcentral describes it as "partial 16S ribosomal RNA". It matches the Rfam family "Bacterial small subunit ribosomal RNA", at positions 28 to 507 of the family's 1533-position model. The record is from RNAcentral.